GUCACUAUUACUUUUCCAGUGUUUGUAGCAAGAAAAUUUCAUUUAUCCCAUAUAGCAUCGAAUUAGUUCAUCUCUUAGUCUUUAAUAGUGUAAUAUAUCUAAAAAUCUGGACUUAAUAGAGUCAAUAUGUUCAAAUCCUUUUAUAGAUCAAUUUGGGGAAGCCUCUUUCUAGAUUUGAGCCCUAAUUUAGCAAAAAAUCAAGUCCUGAUUGGAACAACACAAAAAUGAAGAAAUAAACUUCCCUGAACGGUGGAGGAGGGCAGGGCUCACUCCGGCAGACAACGGGGUUGAGAUUGGAGCUGGGGCCGCGCGGCAGUGUCUGGAAACUGACGGUGGUGACAGGAAAAGGGCGAAGGUGACUGGGCGGCGGGAGACGGUGGCAGGAGGUGUUUGGCGCUGCUGGUAUGGUGUAAAUCGCGCCGACUGGUGGCUCUUCCUCGGCGUUCAUGAUAGGAACGAUGGGUGGCGCACGAAGCCGCCUUGUGUAGAUGCCGGGAGAUGGUGGGGGGCAGCGGUUCUGGAGUGGGUCGCGGUGGUGUUGCGCUGCGUCGAAGGCGGCUGGGCUGGUGCUGUGGUGGUCGGACAGGUGGUGCGGCCGGAAGAGGGAGUUCAGCGGCGGAUUGAAGCUAGGGCACGGCGGCGGCAAGGAGCCGCUGUUGUCGCCGGAGUAUGGAGAGAAGAGGGGGCUUUGGGCUGCGCUCGGAGGCGGCGGCCUUCCCGCCGUGCGGUCGACGGGAUCGGCAGGGAGGUGGCUGUAGAUUAUAGAUCUAGGAUUUCAGGCGCGGUGUGGUGUGCGUGCACUAAUCAGAGAGAAAAGAACAAGACGGAAACAAAGAAAGGAAGUCUUCAAAAUAAAUAAAUUCUUCAAGCUUCGGCCCGCUCGCACUUGAUGAUAUUAAUUAAACUUGGGCCGACUCCACCAUCUCCAAUGGGUUUCUUCAUCAACUCUUGAGCCCACACUUCUUGAACUAAGCUCAUCAAGCUCUCCUUGAACUUCUUGGCUCGUGCUUUUGUAACCGGACCAACAGGAACAUGCACCGGGUCUUGUACCAACGAACCUUGGGCUGCAUCAAAGUGCCUCCNGCUACAUGCACUACAUUUUAUCCCCUUCACAAUAGAAACUUCACACUGUAAAAGCAAUCACUACAAUCUCCUAUAAGGAAGAUGAUUAUACUUCUAAACUAUUAACCAGCAACAAUCCACAUUGAUAAACAUACAGAAUCUGUCAAUAUUACUUUUCCAGUGUUUGUAGCAAGAAAAUUUCAUUUAUCCCAUAUAGCAUCGAAUUAGUUCAUCUCUUAGUCUUUAAUAGUGUAAUAUAUCUAAAAAUCUGGACUUAAUAGCGUCAAUAUGUUCAAAUCCUUUUAUAGAUCAAUUUGGGGAAGCCUCUUUCUAGAUUUGAGCCCUAAUUUAGCAAAAAAUCAAGUCCUGAUUGGAACAACACAAAAAUGAAGAAAUAAACUUCCUUGAACGGUGGAGGAGGGCAGGGCUCGCUCCGGCAGACAGCGGGGUUGAGAUUGGAGCUGGGGCCGCGCGGCAGUGUCUGGAAACUGACGGUGGUGACAGGAAAAGGGCGAAGGUGACUGGGCGGCGGGAGACGGUGGCAGGAGGUGUUUGGCGCUGCUGGUAUGGUGUAAAUCGCGCCGACUGGUGGCUCUUCCUCGGCGUUCAUGAUAGGAACGAUGGGUGGCGCACGAAGCUGCCUUGUGUAGAUGCCGGGAGAUGGUGGGGGGCAGCGGUUCUGGAGUGGGUCGCGGUGGUGUUGUGCUGCGACGAAGGCGGCUGGGCUGGUGCUGUGGUGGUCGGACAGGUGGUGCGGCCGGAAGAGGGAGUUCAGCGGCGGAUUGAAGCUAGGGCACGGCGGUGGCAAGGAGCCGCUGUUGUCGCCGGAGUAUGGAGAGAAGAGGGGGCUUUGGGCUGCGCUCAGAGGCGGCGGCCUUCCCGCCGUGCGGUCGACGGGAAUCGGUAGGGAGGUGGCUGUAGAUUAUAGAUCUAGGAUUUCAGGCGCGGUGUGGUGUGCGUGCAUUUGAGUCAGAGAGAGAGGAGAUUAAGAGGGAGACGAGGGUGGGCGGCAGCGGCGCGACGCAGCGACAAGGGUGGGCGGCGACGGGCCGGCGCGGGGCAGCGGCGCCGGCGGCGGAGUCGAGAGGGGAGAGAGAGAGUCGAGAG
This 2169-nucleotide long non-coding RNA is filed under the name Salvia miltiorrhiza (redroot sage). RNAcentral describes it as "long non-coding RNA (SMIL_LNC010807)". Lineage: Eukaryota; Viridiplantae; Streptophyta; Magnoliopsida; Lamiales; Lamiaceae. The record is from RNAcentral.